This 474-nucleotide small RNA is filed under the name Pongo abelii (Sumatran orangutan). Its description in RNAcentral is "processed transcript". The record is from RNAcentral. Lineage: Eukaryota; Metazoa; Chordata; Mammalia; Primates; Hominidae.
CAAACAGCUUUCAGCACAAUAAAAAGUUCAGUUUCAAACUGGAGUCGAUGGAGGUUGAUCUCUCUCCUUCUCCGAUUAGAAAAUCCGAGAUAGCAGCCGGCCCUGCGAGAAUCUCCGUGAUUAGUCCACCUCAAGAUGGACGCAUGGGCAGCGUCUCCUCCCGGGGCCCUGAGCAUCCCGGCCUGACGCCGAGUCAGAGGAGCGUGGAAAAGCCUCUCAGUGUGAAGUUUUGAAGUCAUUACAAAGACAAAGUUGAUGUGUUUUUACCACGACUCUCGAUGCCUCCUGCGGGACCUGCUCACCUUGGGGCAGUGACGCGUGAAAGAUGAGCACCCAGCCACCCGCUCUGCCCCCUUCCAGUCCUCCAGCCUUCGUGCCUACCAGCAUGUGUACGUUAGACAGCCAAUGCGACUGUACUUUCUCUCUUGAUGAAAUAAUUAAGUAACGUAGUCGAAUAAAGUAUUUUUCUGAUUA